This 468-nucleotide ribosomal RNA is filed under the name uncultured bacterium. RNAcentral describes it as "partial 16S ribosomal RNA". It matches the Rfam family "Bacterial small subunit ribosomal RNA", at positions 28 to 507 of the family's 1533-position model. The record is from RNAcentral.
GACGAACGCUGGCGGCGUGCUUAACACAUGCAAGUCGAACGGAAAGGCCCUGCUUUUGUGGGGUGCUCGAGUGGCGAACGGGUGAGUAACACGUGAGUAACCUGCCCUUGACUUUGGGAUAACUUCAGGAAACUGGGGCUAAUACCGGAUAGGAGCUCCUGCUGCAUGGUGGGGGUUGGAAAGUUUCGGCGGUUGGGGAUGGACUCGCGGCUUAUCAGCUUUUUGGUGGGGUAGUGGCUUACCAAGGCUUUGACGGGUAGCCGGCCUGAGAGGGUGACCGGCCACAUUGGGACUGAGAUACGGCCCAGACUCCUACGGGAGGCAGCAGUGGGAAAUAUUGCACAAUGGGCGGAAGCCUGAUGCAGCAACGCCGCGUGCGGGAUGACGGCCUUCGGGUUGUAAACCGCUUUCGCCUGUGACGAAGCGUGAGUGACGGUAAUGGGUAAAGAAGCACCGGCUAACUACGUG